This 225-nucleotide unclassified non-coding RNA is filed under the name uncultured Sphingomonadaceae bacterium. RNAcentral describes it as "contains 16S-23S intergenic spacer region". The record is from RNAcentral. Lineage: Bacteria; Pseudomonadati; Pseudomonadota; Alphaproteobacteria; Sphingomonadales; Sphingomonadaceae.
UCCGGCUUAUCACCGGCAGUUUCUUUAGAGUGCCCAACUAAAUGGUGGCAACUAAAGACGAGGGUUGCGCUCGUUGCGGGACUUAACCCAACAUCUCACGACACGAGCUGACGACAGCCAUGCAGCACCUGUGUGUAGGUCCCGUAAGGGAAGGAAUCCAUCUCUGGAAACCGUCCUACCAUGUCAAACGCUGGUAAGGUGGGGAUGACGUGUGGAAUGUCGAUA